RNAcentral lists this transfer RNA (72 nucleotides) under Camelus bactrianus (Bactrian camel). It matches the Rfam family "tRNA". From Rfam's summary of the family: Transfer RNA (tRNA) molecules are approximately 80 nucleotides in length. Their secondary structure includes four short double-helical elements and three loops (D, anti-codon, and T loops). Lineage: Eukaryota; Metazoa; Chordata; Mammalia; Artiodactyla; Camelidae. RNAcentral also lists the same sequence under 2 other names. The record is from Rfam by way of RNAcentral.
GAGGAUACAGCUCAGUGGUGGACUGUGUGCUUAGCAUGCAUGAGGUCCUGGGUUCAAUCCCCAGUACCCCCA